GUCCACGCCCUAAACGAUGUCAACUGGUUGUUGGACGGCUUGCUGUUCAGUAACGAAGCUAACGCGUGAAGUUGACCGCCUGGGGAGUACGGCCGCAAGGUUGAACUCAAAGGAAUUGACGGGGACCCGGCACAAGCGGUGGAUGAUGUGGUUUAAUUCGAUGCAACGCGAAAACCUUAACCUACCCUUGACAUGUCUGGAAUCCUGAAGAGAUUUAGGAGUGCUCGAAAGAGAACCAGAACACAGGUGCUGCAUGGCCGUCGU
RNAcentral lists this ribosomal RNA (264 nucleotides) under uncultured bacterium. Its description in RNAcentral is "partial 16S ribosomal RNA". It matches the Rfam family "Bacterial small subunit ribosomal RNA", at positions 793 to 1055 of the family's 1533-position model. The record is from RNAcentral.